UACGGAGGGUGCAAGCGUUGUUCGGAAUUAUUGGGCGUAAAGGGCAGGUAGGUGGUCUUAUAAGUCUACUGUGAAAUCCCCGGGCUUAACCCGGGAAGUGCGGUAGAUACUGUAAGACUAGAGUGCUAUAGGGGUACGCGGAAUUCUCGGUGUAGCGGUGAAAUGCGUAGAGAUCGAGAGGAACACCAGAGGCGAAGGCGGCGUACUGGAGAGCAACUGACACUCAACUGCGAAAGCGUGGGGAGCAAACAGG
This 253-nucleotide ribosomal RNA is filed under the name uncultured bacterium. RNAcentral describes it as "partial 16S ribosomal RNA". It matches the Rfam family "Bacterial small subunit ribosomal RNA", at positions 524 to 776 of the family's 1533-position model. The record is from RNAcentral.